This 89-nucleotide transfer RNA is filed under the name Candidatus Bathyarchaeota archaeon. Its description in RNAcentral is "tRNA-Ser". It matches the Rfam family "tRNA". Rfam says of the family: Transfer RNA (tRNA) molecules are approximately 80 nucleotides in length. Their secondary structure includes four short double-helical elements and three loops (D, anti-codon, and T loops). The record is from RNAcentral. Lineage: Archaea; Thermoproteati; Candidatus Bathyarchaeota. RNAcentral also lists the same sequence under 1 other name.
GCCGGGUUACCCUAGCCUGGUAGGGGGCAGGCCUGCUAAGCCUGUGGCGCUUUUGCGCCGCGCGGGUUCAAAUCCCGCACCCGGCGCCA